This 433-nucleotide ribosomal RNA is filed under the name uncultured bacterium. Its description in RNAcentral is "partial 16S ribosomal RNA". It matches the Rfam family "Bacterial small subunit ribosomal RNA", at positions 29 to 507 of the family's 1533-position model. The record is from RNAcentral.
AACGAACGCUGGCGGCAUGCCUAACACAUGCAAGUCGAACGAGACCUUCGGGUCUAGUGGCGCACGGGUGCGUAACGCGUGGGAACCUGCCCUUAGGUUCGGAAUAACUCCCCGAAAGGGGUGCUAAUACCGGAUAAUGUCUUCGGACCAAAGAUUUAUCGCCUCUGGAUGGGCCCGCGUUGGAUUAGCUAGUUGGUAGGGUAAAAGCCUACCAAGGCGACGAUCCAUAGCUGGUCUGAGAGGAUGAUCAGCCACACUGGGACUGAGACACGGCCCAGACUCCUACGGGAGGCAGCAGUGGGGAAUAUUGGACAAUGGGCGAAAGCCUGAUCCAGCAAUGCCGCGUGAGUGAUGAAGGCCUUAGGGUUGUAAAGCUCUUUUACCCGGGAUGAUAAUGACAGUACCGGGAGAAUAAGCUCUGGCUAACUCCGUG